AGUGAAAUAGGACUGAAACACAUUGCCAGCAAGUUGUCUUUUACGCACACCUUAAUCUGGGCUCCUGGAGAGAGGGUUGUGGACAAGGCCUGGAGAAAAGACAAGUGAAAGCAGCUCCUUCAUUAUAGCACAAUCACACCUACCCUAAACUUUCUAUGUUGUGUGCUUCCAGUGGUGGAAAUUGAGGUACCUACAUACGAGCUGCCAUUACCAGAGGGUGUGCACAGGAAAAAUAUGUAUACUUUCAGGAUAGUACAAAAUUUCCUGUAGACUUUCCUUUAUGAAUCUUACACAUGUCCUGAACUUCUUCAGGAAUAGUAAAGGAAACUAUACAGGAAACGUUGCACUAUCCUUUGUAAGUAGGUUGCAGGACACCUGCCAUUUUUCAGGAAAUGUGCAGAUUUUAUGGGCUGCAAUGUAGCAGCACUGUAGCAGGAAAUUUAAAUAUUUUCCCUGUGGUGGGUGAGAAGAAACUUCACCAAGACAACCUGAGCGUCCGUCAGAUUGAGGAGACGUGGAGAGAACCACUACUCGAGAGUGACCUCCAUAGAGAUCUCUGGGAGUGGAUAUAGGAUCAUCUAGCAGCCAAUUGGACGACUGUCACUCAUCUCAGGAUGGAGGAGAGUAAGAAAGAUCCACCAGAGGAACCAUUUCGCUCCCUCUACACCGCCAGGGAGUUGCUGUCAGGUAUGAGGGCUAAACUGGAUGCCUGUCCUCUCAAAGAGCUUGAGGAUUUCACUAUUCUCUAGUGUUUUGUUGGACUGGAAAUGGUGCUACCCCCCACAUAGCAUCACAUGUUGAGCAGUCACGAGGUGGACACGUACGGUAGUAACGAGCACCACUUCAGUCUGUCCCACAAGACUGCCCUCCAUGGCCGCCUGCCCAUCAUACAGUUCCUAGUGGAGAGUGGACUGCCCUCCUCCGCACUGCAGAUACCAGAUGACUCAUUCACCACACCCGCCAUGCUCGCUAUACAGCUGCUCAUGGACUUUGGCUACAGCAUGGUCCACACGGACAGGGAGAACCAGAAGCCGGUGGAUUGGGCCGAUGCUAUGGGUCAGAAUAUUCUGUGUCCGCUAUCUCAUGAUGUACGAGACUUGUUGGGCACUCUCUGGAGAACUGACACACAUGGCCGAGCAGCUCGCUAUGUAAGUGGAGGGCCUUUAAUUAGUGAUUGUGUAGUGUGUGUGUAUGGUGGUGUGUGUGCAAGUCUGUAUGAGAGUGUGUCACUGGGAGAAUUGCUACUGCUAGUGUCUACCGUAUAGCCCGUAAUUUUCAGGGGGCAAAAUAUUCGUGGUUGAGCAAUAUUCAGUCUCAAAUAGUAGCUUCAGUGAACUUUGACUCUAGCAUAUCUGCACGUGUCAGCCAAAAACAAUUAUUACCAGCAGCUAGCUACAUGUACGUAGCUACAAGUAGCAGCUUGUUAGUGCUUCUUAUUAUUCUUGUGCUAAUUAUCAACCCCCUCCCCCCAGCAGGGGUCAAGUACCUGUGCGGAAGGCGCCCCCUGAACCACCCACUACCCCUAAACGAUCCUCCAAUCGUCCCUCUGUACCCCCGGAUCCUGCUGCUACGAAGAGGUCACGAGGGUCAAAGGACAGAGGUCAUGAGGCGGCAGAUAAAGGGGAGGACCAUAAUACCAUUGACUAUCGAACAGCCACCCCCCAAGAAGUGUUAGAGUGAGUGAAUAGUAUAAAUUAAUGUGCAGGUAUGUACUACAUGUACAUGUCCCCCGUUUAAUCAAUUGGUUAGUGGACUCGUUCAGUCGCCAUAACUUGAAUUCCGUGGAUCGAUUUUCCGAAAGCUUAGAAAAAGACCUUUAAAAUAGUACCAGAUAUUUGGGAGAUGACAAUUUUAGCAAUAGCCCAGUGUUCAAAAUUGAAUUAUGGCCACAUCUAAAUAUUGGAUUGAAAUACAUCAUUUGAAAGGUCUCUUUCUAAGCUUUCAGAAAAUCAUAAAAUUUUUGAAAUUGGGUCACGGUACUAAAGUUAUGGCUGCUGAAAGAUGUUCAACUACUGUAACAUGUCCGUGCUUGAAUUAUAACUAGUGUACCUAUACACACACUAUGACUGCACCCCCCCCACACACACCACACCACACACACACACACACACACUAUGACUGCGCCCCCCCACACACACACACCACACACCACACACACACUAUGACUGCGCCCCCCUCCACACACACACCCUCCCACCACAUCUGCUGGUAUAUCCAAGCUAUAUAGUCCCAGCCCAUUCUCCACUUCAAAUCCUCACCAUAAUUUGUAUGUGAGUUUCCAUACCACCAAGAGUAGAUAAGAGCAUCUACCAUUGAUAUCACCUUAUAGCGGGGAAUUGUCGAGGGUCUAAUUUUAUCUCGCAGAUUAGCCAGAAAAUAUUGGCCCUAAAAAGUACCAUACAAGUUCUGGAAGCCAUCAUUGCUCAGGAUGUUGUUAGAAUAGCAACAUUCUAUGGUGAUUUUGUGUAAUGAUAAGGAUUUUAGGACACCCCACACACACACCCACACACACACACACACACACACACACACACACACACACACACUACUAUCUUGACUAAUGCCUUGUGCUAAUUUCUAAGAACCAAAAUUAGAGGUUAAUUGUGCUUGCCACCUAUAGAAGAACCACAUAGACCCAUCCCCAUUAUCAGAUACUACCACCACAAAACCUGGCCCAGACAAUACAGGCCUGUUCCUAGGCCUUAUAAAUUACAAGGUCAGAUUUAGCCACACACACACACACACACAGGAUGAUAUUCUGCCAACAGUGCACUUCACAAAGCACCCAGCUGCCCUCCUCAAAGAAGUUGGUCAGAGUCUGUGACAGCUGCUUCUUGGACUUGAACUGAACAUAAUUUACACACUUUGUUUUUGUAUAAUUAUACCUCAUUCAUUGUGUUGUCCUCAAGUGAUAAUUUGAUACAAUUAUUGACUGUGGUCUACAAUUUUGGACAUUAAUUAUUACUAUUUGUC
Molecule: long non-coding RNA, 2973 nt
Organism: Halichondria panicea
Lineage: Eukaryota; Metazoa; Porifera; Demospongiae; Suberitida; Halichondriidae
Exons: 4
Source: RefSeq, a predicted model, not a curated record